RNAcentral lists this ribosomal RNA (250 nucleotides) under uncultured bacterium. RNAcentral's name for it is "partial 16S ribosomal RNA". It matches the Rfam family "Bacterial small subunit ribosomal RNA", at positions 524 to 773 of the family's 1533-position model. The record is from RNAcentral.
UACGAAGGGGGCUAGCGUUGCUCGGAUUUACUGGGCGUAAAGGGCGCGUAGGCGGACAGUUAAGUUAGGGGUGAAAUCCCGGGGCUCAACCUCGGAACUGCCUUUAAAACUGGCUGUCUUGAGUACGGGAGAGGUGUGUGGAACUCCGAGUGUAGAGGUGAAAUUCGUAGAUAUUCGGAAGAACACCAGUGGCGAAGGCGACACACUGGCCCGUUACUGACGCUGAGGCGCGAAAGCGUGGGGAGCAAAC